Molecule: ribosomal RNA, 481 nt
Filed under: uncultured bacterium
Lineage: Bacteria
Description: bacterial SSU rRNA
Rfam family: Bacterial small subunit ribosomal RNA
Source: RNAcentral
GAUGAACGCUGGCGGCGUGCUUAACACAUGCAAGUCGAACGGAAAGGCCAGUGCUUGCGCUGGUACUCGAGUGGCGAACGGGUGAGUAACACGUGGGUGAUCUGCCUGCACUUCGGGAUAAGCUUGGGAAACUGGGUCUAAUACCGGAUAGGACCAUUGGUUGGUGCCUUUGGUGGAAAGUUUUUUCGGUGUGGGAUGAGCUCGCGGCCUAUCAGCUUGUUGGUGGGGUAAUGGCCUACCAAGGCGUCGACGGGUAGCCGGCCUGAGAGGGUGUACGGCCACAUUGGGACUGAGAUACGGCCCAGACUCCUACGGGAGGCAGCAGUGGGGAAUAUUGCACAAUGGGCGCAAGCCUGAUGCAGCGACGCCGCGUGGGGGAUGACGGCCUUCGGGUUGUAAACGUCCUUUCGCCAAAGACGAAUGUGGACGGUAUUUGGUAGAAGAAGCACCGGCGUAACUACGUGCCAGCAGCCGCGGUAAU